Molecule: ribosomal RNA, 503 nt
Filed under: uncultured bacterium
Lineage: Bacteria
Description: bacterial SSU rRNA
Rfam family: Bacterial small subunit ribosomal RNA
Source: RNAcentral
CUGGCGUCAGGAGUGAACGCUGGCGGCGUGCUUAACACAUGCAAGUCGAACGGAGUUUUUAAACGGAAGUUUUCGGAUGGAAGUUUAAGAACUUAGUGGCGGACGGGUGAGUAACGCGUGGGUAACCUGCCUCAUACAGGGGGAUAACAGUUAGAAAUGACUGCUAACACCGCAUAAUAUAGUGAAACCGCAUGAUUUUUGCUAUCAAAUAUUUAUAGGUAUGAGAUGGGCCCGCGUCUGAUUAGCUAGUUGGUGGGGUAAAAGCCUACCAAGGCGACGAUCAGUAGCCGGCUUGAGAGAGUGACCGGCCACAUUGGGACUGAGACACGGCCCAAACUCCUACGGGAGGCAGCAGUGGGGAAUAUUGGACAAUGGGGGAAACCCUGAUCCAGCGAACCGCCGCGUGAGUGAAGAAGUAUUUCGGUAUGUAAAGCUCUAUCAGCAGGGAAGAUAAUGACAGUACCUGACUAAGAAGCCCCGGCUAACUACGUGCCAGCAGCCGC